RNAcentral lists this ribosomal RNA (509 nucleotides) under uncultured bacterium. RNAcentral describes it as "partial 16S ribosomal RNA". It matches the Rfam family "Bacterial small subunit ribosomal RNA", at positions 28 to 506 of the family's 1533-position model. The record is from RNAcentral.
GACGAACGCUGGCGGCGUGCUUAACACAUGCAAGUCGAACGAAGAGCGAUGGAAGCUUGCUUCUAUCAAUCUUAGUGGCGAACGGGUGAGUAACGCGUAAUCAACCUGCCCUUCAGAGGGGGACAACAGUUGGAAACGACUGCUAAUACCGCAUACGAUCUAACCUCGGCAUCGAGGAUGGAUGAAAGGUGGCCUCUAUUUAUAAGCUAUCACUGAAGGAGGGGAUUGCGUCUGAUUAGCUAGUUGGAGGGGUAACGGCCCACCAAGGCGAUGAUCAGUAGCCGGUCUGAGAGGAUGAACGGCCACAUUGGGACUGAGACACGGCCCAGACUCCUACGGGAGGCAGCAGUGGGGAAUCUUCCGCAAUGGACGAAAGUCUGACGGAGCAACGCCGCGUGAGUGAUGACGGCCUUCGGGUUGUAAAGCUCUGUUAAUCGGGACGAAAGGCCUUCUUGCGAAUAGUUAGAAGGAUUGACGGUACCGGAAUAGAAAGCCACGGCUAACUACGU